RNAcentral lists this transfer RNA (75 nucleotides) under Candidatus Pacearchaeota archaeon. Its description in RNAcentral is "tRNA-Arg". It matches the Rfam family "tRNA". Rfam says of the family: Transfer RNA (tRNA) molecules are approximately 80 nucleotides in length. Their secondary structure includes four short double-helical elements and three loops (D, anti-codon, and T loops). The record is from RNAcentral. Lineage: Archaea; Nanobdellati.
GCUCCCGUAGCUCAGCCUGGAUAGAGCGUCUGCCUUCUAAGCAGAAAGUCGCAGGUUCAAAUCCUGUCGGGAGCG